GACGAACGCUGGCGGCGUGCUUAACACAUGCAAGUCGAACGGUAAGGCCCUUCGGGGUACACGAGUGGCGAACGGGUGAGUAACACGUGGGUGAUCUGCCCUGCACUUCGGGAUAAGCCUGGGAGGCUGGGUCUAAUACCGGAUAGGACCACUGCCUGCAUGGGUGGUGGUGGAAAGCUUUUGCGGUGUGGGAUGGGCCCGCGGCCUAUCGGCUUGUUGGUGGGGUGAUGGCCUACCAAGGCGACGACGGGUAGCCGGCCUGAGAGGGUGACCGGCCACACUGGGACUGAGAUACGGCCCAGACUCCUACGGGAGGCAGCAGUGGGGAAUAUUGCACAAUGGGCGCAAGCCUGAUGCAGCGACGCCGCGUGAGGGAUGACGGCCUUCGGGUUGUAAACCUCUUUCAGCACCGACGAAGCGCAAGUGACGGUAGGUGCAGAAGAAGGACCGGCCAACUACGUGCCAGCCGCCGCUGUAA
This 478-nucleotide ribosomal RNA is filed under the name uncultured bacterium. RNAcentral's name for it is "partial 16S ribosomal RNA". It matches the Rfam family "Bacterial small subunit ribosomal RNA", at positions 28 to 523 of the family's 1533-position model. The record is from RNAcentral.